RNAcentral lists this transfer RNA (81 nucleotides) under Xylaria nigripes. Its description in RNAcentral is "tRNA-Ser". It matches the Rfam family "tRNA". From Rfam's summary of the family: Transfer RNA (tRNA) molecules are approximately 80 nucleotides in length. Their secondary structure includes four short double-helical elements and three loops (D, anti-codon, and T loops). RNAcentral also lists the same sequence under 4 other names. The record is from RNAcentral. Lineage: Eukaryota; Fungi; Ascomycota; Sordariomycetes; Xylariales; Xylariaceae.
GGCUAGGUGGCGGAGUGGUUAACGCGGUAGACUAGAAAUCUACUUCCUUCGGGAGCGUCUGUUCGAAUCAGGCCCUAGUCG